Molecule: small nucleolar RNA, 81 nt
Organism: Pseudophryne corroboree (corroboree frog)
Lineage: Eukaryota; Metazoa; Chordata; Amphibia; Anura; Myobatrachidae
Product: small nucleolar RNA SNORD53/SNORD92
Exons: 1
Source: RefSeq, a predicted model, not a curated record
CUGCUGUGAUGAUGCCCAAAAAUGUGGUUUCAACUCACUGAAUUCUGUGAAGACGACAUUUCCUUGGCUGUGUCUGAGCUC